RNAcentral lists this long non-coding RNA (1523 nucleotides) under Mus musculus (house mouse). RNAcentral's name for it is "long non-coding RNA chr2:180587170-180588693". Lineage: Eukaryota; Metazoa; Chordata; Mammalia; Rodentia; Muridae. The record is from RNAcentral.
UCUCUGGUCAGGCUCACUCUUCUAAACCCGUCUGAAAGAACAAUCUAGGGGCAUGAAAGCAUGCAGGUGGGCCUGGUCAAGGCAUUUGCCUUGAGUCUAUUAUUUUCCAUUUGAUCCCCAACAGCCCAGUGUCCCAAUCUAAACUCAAACCUGCUGCCUUCCUGAGUUGUUCUGACCUUGUGGCUCACAGGCAUGUCCCUAUGUCCCUAUGAGAGAUGUCACUGACAGCUGGGUCUAUGUAUACUGCACUUAGCUCCAGGCAGCAUGGCAUACUGCCUCUUGCAAAUAUUACUGUCAGUCCACGGCACAUCCAUCUUUCAGCUUCCUAGGACAGUUGUGGGAGAGGGGGUGUCUACCCAAGGCACAACUCUGAGUUGUCCCAAGCACCCACUAACACCCCAUGCACGGUUUCCCUAUCUAAUGGCAUUUUAACCAGGUCCCAGCCUGAGCAUGGUUGGUGUCGGAAGCAGAGGGGAUGAGAUCAGAGGCAGCCACAGAGUUUACAUUUUUUUUUUAAUUUAACAAGCAUAUAUAUUUGUAUGGGUGCACAUGUGGAGAUCAGAGACAACGUUCAUAAGUCAGUUCUUGCUUUAUACUGUCUGGGUCCCAGGGACUGAGGGAGUCUCCACAGUGGCCCAUCAGUCUUUGCUUUAUACUGUCUGGGUCCCAGGCUGAGGGAGUCUCCACAGUGGCCCAUCAGUCUUUGCUUUAUACUGUCUGGGUCCCAGGGACUGAGGGAGUCUCCACAGUGGCCCAUCAGUCUUUGCUUUAUACUGUCUGGGUCCCAGGGACUGAGGGAGUCUCCACAGUGGCCCAUCAGUCUUUGCUUUAUACUGUCUGGGUCCCAGGGACUGAGGGAGUCUCCACAGUGGCCCAUCAGUCUUUGCUUUAUACUGUCUGGGUCCCAGGCUGAGGGAGUCUCCACAGUGGCCCACCAGUCUGAUUUUGGUGGUUUCUGAGGUUCCAACUCAAGGAACUAUGGAACUUUAACAUACUGUAGUCUCUGUUACAUACUGCAUUGUUAUAGUUAUUGUUAUACUCUAUAAAUAUAUAGAGACAAUAUGUUUUCACCUUGAGAUUCCCAGAAUGUUACAGGUUCGAAUUUAGUAAAGAAGGCCACACUUGAAGGUCAUAAACAUAUACAUAUAAGCCUGAUUAACAUUAUUUGGAAUAUGGCUAUAUAAAAGGAUUAUUUUCUCUAUGUAGGCAGUCUUAAAGCAAAUUUUGUCAACUAUCCUAGAAUUGAGAACUCUCAACUGGUGAGAAACUUCAACCAUGGUGGACUUAGGGUCCUUUACCCUGCUGCCCACCCAUGUCUCCCUUACCUUCCAUUGCUUUCUUGCUUCAAACAGUAUGUUACAUAACAAGGUCGAGCUCAUGGCCACAGUCGGCAGUAGAGGCCACCUAACAUCCAAAGGCUACCUAGCCACAUGAGCCCAGGAAAUCUGCAGUGGGCAGGAGUGGGACUGAACUCACAAAGCAGAGGGAGUGUGGAACUGGCUCAAUUGGGAAAAAACAAAAAC